This is a long non-coding RNA of Physella acuta, 280 nucleotides long. RefSeq lists it as uncharacterized. The record is from RefSeq and is a predicted model, not a curated record. NCBI's taxonomy places the organism in Eukaryota, Metazoa, Mollusca, Gastropoda, Physidae.
UCCACAAUAUUUGAACAGAUAUUUAUUCGGAAGUGUGAAAGACCUUACCAUGAAAACCAUCACCAUUUUUCUGUGCAUUGGUCUCCUGUUGGCUUUUUCUGCAGCUUUAGAGGCAGAAGUUCAGGAUGGAAAACGGGUGUUACCCCGAGGAGAGAUGAAAUACGUGUAUCCGUCGUUUUAUGCUAGGGACAAGGACAGUGAUGACCCCACUGUUGAUGGUAGGAUAGUUCGUUCCCCAGGAUUUAAAUUCAAUGGAUUGGAUACAUUAAAAUAUUAAAUG